UACGUAGGGGGCAAGCGUUGUCCGGAUUUAUUGGGCGUAAAGAGCGUGUAGGCGGCUUUACAGGUCCGUUGUGAAAACUCGAGGCUCAACCUCGAGACGCCGGUGGAAACCGUAAAGCUAGAGUCCGGAAGAGGAGAGUGGGAUUCCUGGUGUAGCGGUGAAAUGCGCAGAUAUCAGGAAGAACACCCGUGGCGAAGGCGGCUCUCUGGGACGGUACUGACGCUGAGACGCGAAAGCGUGGGGAGCGAACAGG
RNAcentral lists this ribosomal RNA (253 nucleotides) under uncultured bacterium. RNAcentral describes it as "partial 16S ribosomal RNA". It matches the Rfam family "Bacterial small subunit ribosomal RNA", at positions 524 to 776 of the family's 1533-position model. The record is from RNAcentral.